Molecule: long non-coding RNA, 15749 nt
Filed under: Gallus gallus (chicken)
Lineage: Eukaryota; Metazoa; Chordata; Aves; Galliformes; Phasianidae
Description: lncRNA (ENSGALG00010009848.1)
Source: RNAcentral
CGGGGUUUUAUUUUUUAAAUGAAAUUCUGCUGGGCUUCAGAGAUUGAAUCUCUUUAUCAGCAAAGCCUUUGAAAUCGAGCGCUAUGCGAACGCCUGUUUUGAAGGAAUCCUUUAAAGCCAAAAGACUUGCUGCUGCCUGACUGGGGAUCUGAGGCCCUAGGAAAGAAAAAAUAAAGCCUGUGGAGAGGCAGCAGGGUGUCUGCACUCUGGGAAGUAAAACAAAAGUCUUCAAAUCUACAAGAAGUUCUCCAUUAGCUGUGUGUUUUUCUCUAAGGAAAUUAUUGCUUUUUAAUCUGCCAUUCAUCUCAUCCACAGAGGAACAAAGUGGAUUUUCAGGUCAGAUACUGCUCUUACAAAUCAAUAAGACGUUGUUGAAAAGUUGGAAUUUGAAAGGUAUGGUAGAAAUUAUAUGUAUGUGACUUCUGUGUAAAUGAUGUACUUAAAUCUGUGCAAUAUUGAGAGAUGUUUGAAUCUGAGUGCGUUCUUGGCUGGACCCUACAAGUGAAAGAAAUGAAGUCACAGAGACUGCUUGUUUUUGUCAAGGAGGUGUGUAAGAUGUUUUUGUUUCAGGCAACUUAUUCCUUGAGGUAAUGAAUAUCAGUGUACAUGAAGAAACUGGGUCAUACUCUAUUAGGUUUUGCAGAAAUAUAAUAAGCAAAAAGUGGAUGUUCUAACAGCCUGUAGAAAUUGAACUGUAAGGCUGGGAGUACUUGGGAUGCAUGAACAAGACUCGGCUGUAUUGUGGGAAUUAACUUUGUAUCCUGAUAAUGCAGAUGCUUUUUUGGAAUUGAUCUGAAAUAUAAAUAAUUGAUUUUUCAAAAGUAAAUCUUCUAAAAAUGAAAGGAAGAAGUCUCCUGUUAAAACUCGACAAGGAAUACAUUAUUUUAAUUGAGCUCCUAAACUGGUAUUUGAGUAAUGGUAGUUAUCACACAUACUCCAAAGACGCUCCAAAGAUGAACUCUAGGCUGGCCAAGAAGGCAUUGGGCCACUUUGUGGCUUUUUUUUCCCCACGCAGUAUAAGCUUCAAAAACUGUCUAUUGCCCCGUUUGACUUUUAUGUGGACUGAGAUGAUGGGAGCUGGCUACUACUAGUCAAGCAUUAAAUGUCCUUCAUUUCUCCUGAUCAUUUGUACUUGUUAGGCCGUAGCCAGCUUGUGAGGUGUUCGGGCUGUGGGGAUAUUUCUAUGCUGUGAUGUUUGUUUCCGUCCUGAUUGAAAAUUACUUUAAUUAAAGCUUGUUCCCUGGUUUUCUGCUCCUCAUAAAUGCAGUGAUUCUGGAGUAGUUUAAUGACAUAUAUUUUGAAAAAUGCUGAUUAUCAAGUCUGAUUUUUCUUUUUGUGCCAAUGUGUUGCUUCUGACAACAUCUUCUGAUUGGAACAAGACUUUGUACAAAAAUGCUUAAGCAGCUGCAUUUUCAUGAAUAUAUUAUUAAUUUCAUUACUUCAUUUAUUCUUCCUGUGAUGAAGACCUGAAACCAGUUUUUAAUCUGAAAUGUAAAACUUAUUGUUUAUAUGUAUAUGUAUAUAUAUUUAUAUACACAUACGCACAUACGCCUAUAUAGAUAUGCUUCUCCAUGCAAAUUUAAGACAAACCUUGACAUUUUAUAUAUAUAUAUUUUUUUUUCUUUUAAUGUCUUGGGCAAUUUGUUAUACAGGAAAUAUGCCAUGAUUCAUCCAUUCUAAUAGACUCCACCUCCAACUAGGGCUGAAUUUUCCGUCUUUUGAAGAAUUUCAUGCCGUUAACAAUGUACAUUUAGACUACGUAAACUUACUUCCUGAGUUUCCUUUCCUUUCCUGGCAGUGCUAAGUUAACAAAGCAAAAGGCUUCAGAACAAAACAUUUUCUUGACUUGGAGGCUCCUUGCAAAUGUUUCAUUCCUCAAACUGAGCUCUUUCCUGCUUAAAACUUUCGUAACUUGUUUGGAACUUAAUGAGCCCCACAUGUCCUGGCUCCCAGCACCAGCCAGCCUGCAGCAGCAGAACAGCCCUCCUGCUCUGCACAGGGUCAUGAAAAAUAUCAGUCUUCCCCAGUACUUUUUUGAAGUCUUUUUAUUUUUUGUUUAUGCUCUGAGGACUCUAUUUGCUGGUCAGCUGACCCCCUAAAUUCAAAACUGAAUUUACGACGCAGAAAAUCUCCCGUGUAGUUAUAAAGACAGCAGACAAAAUAGCACUCCAGUAGUGCUCCAGACUCUCUUGGAUUCUCAUGAAAUAUGAUGCCAAGGCUGAAGUUUUAGACCUGAUAAAAACUGUCCACAGGACUUUUCGAUUGUUCCAGAAAAUCUACUUUCCUUUGCACCAGCACAAUUACAAAGGACAAAGUCACAAGUGUGGCACCCACUGUGAAUGGCAAAGGUUUGGUGGAAGGUGGUUCCUGGCCAGACAGGUUUACAACAAUAAUGUAUAGAAACAGACAAUAACCUAUUUUAAAAUGUGUAUGUGUACAUGUCUAUAUAUGCUCAUUUAUGAACUACUUUGAAGACAUUUCAGAAAUCAUACCAAGGAACAGUAGAGAAGCAGCAAAACCAACUCAUUUGAUAAAGCGAAAGGGAGUGUAAGAUAAGUAAAUGAAAUACCAUGGUAAAAGGAAAAGAAAAACAAUCCCUGAAAUCUCAAAAACAGUGCUGACAUGUAGACUUUUCAUAUGUAUUUUCCAUAUUGAGGUAGAAAUUCAUAUCUAGCUAUGUAGGUAUUCUCUGUUUCUACUCCAGAAGUUGCUCUUAGCAUUUGUAUGCCAUAACAACGCUAUAAGCCACAGGAAGCUCUGAGAUUCACUAAAGUAAUUUAGAAAAAACAAAUUAGCUAAGGGAAUGGUCAAUGGUUUUAAUUACUUUUUUUUUUUUUUUUUUCCCCCAAUUAAAAAGGUAUGGUGAAAUUCAUACUGGGUAGAAAAAAAUGUUUAGCUAAUUGGGAGAGAAGUCUUCCUUCUUGGGAUCUGUUUAACCAGCACAAACCAGAAGCCAAACUAACGCAUGCAAUCCUAUUUCUUUCUAAAUUCGAUCCGUUACAAAAAUGCGUACCUUAAGGGUAAUUCUCUAUGAUUCUUAUGGGAUAACAGAGUGUAUCAGACACUUUCAGUAUUAACAUGAUAUAGCAGGAAAAAAAAAAUGGCUGAAAGAACUGCCUCAGCCAUCAAUUUUGGGAAGCAAAGUCAGAUUGUAUCGGCUGUGAAAUAUGUGCGCUACACUUGCCUUAUGUAGUAUACAGCAUUCAGAAGCAAGGUCCCUUCAAGGAAAAUAUUUGGGACUGUGAGAUAACUUUAAGGGCGUAUGUUUUCAGGCUUGGAUUUAUUUGUCAAUCCCUACAACUGCAAAACUGCAAAAACCAAGUUAUUUACAGCAUGCAGCGGGACAGAGAUGUAAGUAAGCUUGGUGUAUUUCUUACCUAAAUACAUAUCUUUUAUUAAAUAAUUAUUUCAUUUAAAUCUAUAUAUUCUUAUAAUAUGUUAGAAGGAGUUAAGCAUUACCUGGCAUAUCAUUGUGCAUAGCUAGCUGGAAUAUACAUUUGGUUUCUUCAGCUUCUUUCAUCAUUUGCAAAAGAACUGAAUUUCUUCCCUCUGACAAUCAGGAUAGCCACUCAUUGGCUUUUUAUUCACACUGAGGAAAGGACAUUGAUGAAAUCCUAAUUGUUCUAGGUAACAAGCAUGAAGACUGCAUAAUGCUAUAGUAAAGUUAUUUGUCAUCAGAAAGUGGAAAGACAAUGCCUGAGCCUGCUCUGUGAUGAGCAUCAUAAAAUCCCUUCACCUACAAUAGCUGAUAUGCUAAUAACUAUAAAUCUUUAAGAUGAUAAAAAGAAGACUUGUGCAGAUAUAUCAAGAAAAAAUGUUUGACUUUUCUUUCUCACAGUUUGUAAAGAGAUAUUUGCUCUUAUAUUUAAGGCUUUAUUUUUCUUAGUAAUGUAGGUGUCCAGGCAGCUGGGUAGAAUGAACUGAGAGCUCUUUCCUCCCAGGCUUUCAAUAUUUUAAUGUUUAGAAUUUCAGGGAUUCAGAAGCACAGAAAGGGUUUUAAAUGCUCAUGUUUUUCUAACCAGAGUUUAUGCAAAAACUUGUUAGUUUUCUGAAAAGUUAUUGUACACAGGAGUGCACGUGAGAAUUUCUCCUGAGUCUUUAAAUCCCCCUACUAGAGCAGAAGCAGAUAUUGCUUGCAUUUCUACCUUCCUAUUCUUCAAGUUGUAAGUAUAAUCUGUGCAAACUGAUCAAAACAGAACUAGAAAAUUAUUAAUAUAAUAUUAUAUUCCGUUUACACAUUCCAGGUGAUCUUCUGCUUUUAUUUUUAUUAAGUGUAGUCAAAAGAGGAAUGACAUUGACACAUCUCUCAUUUUCUUUCAUCAUUCAUUGUUUCUGCCUCUCUUCUACACUUAUUUUCCUAAAAACCUGUUCCCACCACUACCCAGAAGGUUCAUCACUUGCUAUUUCCCAGAUAUUCCUCCUUGCACUUUGCCACAUGUAGCUGAUGUUCAAAUCCAGCUAGACCAUCCCCUUUCCAAAGAUCCCUUCCUCACUUCUGUGGUCUUGCUUGUGGUCAGAUUUCCAGCAACAGUGGAUUCUUUCCAUCAUUUCCAAUCUCGUAUUAUUUUGGCAUGUAAACAUGCAAAAUAAAGUUGUUAUUAACUUUUUUUUACCCAAGACUUUGGCUUCCUGCUUUGAUUUCGCAGUUAACGCUGUUUCUGUGUUUCCCUCAUUCUCAUUUUAAUCUUUUUUAUGUUAUGCAUAAUAUAGAUUUUACUGUGUAUUUGUAAUGUGUAUGUCUCCCCUUCCACUCUGAUGUUUGCUUUGUUUUGUUUUGCUGCUGUUUUUUUUUAAUGAGUAUGUGGAAGUUAAUGUAUAUAUAUACUUCCAGUUUGGGAAUGUUGGGUUUCAGCACAAUAGUAUGGUGUGUAUCUACUUCUGUUAUUUGUAUGCACAGUGCUCAUGGUUGCAUACGCAGUUGCUGUUGUCAUCAGUAAAAUUCAUUGCUUGUAGGGAGAUGGUGGUUAUUGUCUGGGCAGUCCAAAAUACCAUGAAAGCAAUUUUGCAUAAUGACACAAAGCCACCCGUUAGAAAUGAUAUAUGCCACAUAGCAAGGCAGGCAUACCAACUGGGAGCCUGAGAACUGAAAACUACCAUGAGUUAGUAUAUUUUUUCAAUUUUCAACAAAAAGUAACUUGGUGGAAUUUUUGUUAAGAAGUCUGGAACAAAGAUACCUACUAGCACUUGUCUGUUAACAAAGUCAUGCUGACUUUGUAUGAUUCACAUGAAAAUUUAUAUAGGUCUUUACUUUAAGGCUCACUUUCAGUUUAUUAUACAGAUUUUCUUCCUUUUGGAGUAGUUAUUAUUCUUAUUUUAAAUACACAUUGCAUGGAUUUUGUUUAAAAUAUGUCAGGUUUCCAUGGUUUUACAACGUUAGGUAAAAACCCCAUGUAUUUUGCAAGUAGAUUUUACAGUAGGUUGGUUGUCCUGCAAAAUGCUAACGCUAACAAUGAGAUGUCAGAGACACCUUUUCUCUCCCUCUCUUCUCUCUCUUACUCACCCCUCUAUUUGUGUAUAUAUCAUGGAAACCUGACAAUCUCCAGGGUGCUCAGCUCCAAUAAACUAAUCUCACAAUUCAUGCAUUACAGAAGAUCUGUGAAAAAUAGUUAGCCAGUUUUCUGUUGUGAUGUGGGGGCACCAUAAAUUAAACUUAGGAACUGGAGAAGAGUUAACAAUCAGAUUUGUCAGAGGCAAAGCACCAUGAAGACUCCUUCUCAUUUCAUAAACGUAUAGAUCAUGAGACUAGGUAUAUAGCUUGGUUGAUAUAAAUCAAUCAUUUUGGCCUCAUUUCCACAUGGAUAAGGCUAAGGCUCAUGUAUAUAUAUACACACACAUAUAUAUAUAUAUUCCUUUUUUUCUUUCUGAAAAAAAGACAAAUUCCUCCAUCUGAGUUGUUGCAAUUAUAGUGCAAACACCUCUAUUGUAUUUCAGGGAAACAAAUCAAUUUAUAAAAAUGAUUUUCCCUCAGUUACACUCAAUUUUAGCAAAUGGUACAUAAAUCUGGCACACUUCAUGAGCCAUACACUGAGAAAAGGCUUAUCUCAUUCAUUUAAUCCUAUUAAAAAUGAGGACUUGUGUUCCCCAUGCAUUCAUUGGUGACAGCAGAAUUUGGCCCAGUGGCAGAUGUCUUGGGAGGUGGACUUUACAGGUGCAAUCAAGUCAGUUAAUGUAUCCAGUCCAGGUGAGCCCACAAGUACAGUACUUUCUAUGUCCCUUUCUGCCUACUGGUGCCAAAGAGAGCGCAGCACAUUCCCUAAUGGUACAAACAAAUCAAACCAUCUGACCUGUCAGGUUUUAAUGUACCGAAAUGAAGCUUGAAGCAUAGUUACGAGAACAAUGUCUGCUUGAAGUCCUAGUUAUGGGCCAUAACUGCUUGAAGUCCUAGUUAUGGGCCAUAACCAUGUUGAAUUACUAAUGAGUCAGCUGCUUGUCACGGCUGAGGGCUGUUUGACCUGGGUGGAAAUGAGAAACUGAAUGUGAACAGAACUUAGUUAGAAAGAUAUAAGCUAUAACUUCAAAAAUUAAACCCUUAAAAUAUUAUCAGCUGCAAAUGUGAGACAUGCCUGUGAUCUAGGAGUUUCUAUCUACGAGUCUCCACCAAGGAGUUUCCAAAUUUGAUCUAGAUUCAGUAAUAUACACUCUGGCUGAAAUUAAACCAUUAACUCAUCUAUGCGCAUGGAUACCUCAUUCAGCAGGCUCCUUCCUUAUGCUCCUACCAACAAAGAAGAUGGAGCUUAUUGUCAGCUAUAAAAAAAAGCCAGUGUUAGUCAGCUGAGGGAAGUAUUCUUUGGCAUCCCUAAAUCAACUGAUGUGAUCCCUAAUGAAAAUAAUAAUCAACAGAUGAAGCAUUUUCCUCUGAAAUAUGCCAACGUCUUACUAGCACGGACACCCUAAAGAAAAGACACCUAUGAACAACUAUUACAAAUAGCUGAAAAAUUGCAAAAGUAACUUAUGGAGAUUCAUUACAAAGACCUUUUCACUAAACUUCUUGUUUCUCUAAAAAUUUUACAUGUACAUAAAUACAUACUUUAUAUAUGUGUAUAAUGCCUGCAGCUUGCUCCAUUACAGGGUUUACAGAGUUAUGUUUGGAAAAUAAGUGUAUGAGUUAAGAGGACCAUGCUUCAGUACCAGUCCAGUUAUUGCUAUUUUCUCAUUUAGAAACUUUCUGUAAAAGAAAUGCCAGCUGCUUCAUUGCAUCAUACUGAAGUGUUCCAGGGUCUGACAUAGAUGUUUUGGACCUCAGAAAGGGGGAAAAAAAAUGUGGGUGUACCCAUGUUUAUGCAGCCUGGUGAGAGAAUGCAUUCCAUUAAGUUAAGGUUAUUUUGGAAUAGUCUUGCGUAUUUAAUUGAAUUGACAUCUGAUUGAAGCAGAAAUGUUUCUGACAGAUGAAAAUUGUGUCAGACUGAAAUGUCUCAAGAAAAGCAAAACACAUUUUUGAUAUAUUCUCUGUACACGUCAUAUCUUUUUGCUGGCCACAAAGAAUUUCAUUUUUAUAAUACAAAAGCAACACAACUCUUUCAUUUGAACUAAUGGGGUUCUAAUGAAUUUUAUGAAUACUAAUACACACACAAUACGUUUCAUACAGUUGGGCCAUAGUGCACUAUUUCUAAAAUGGGUCUGCACAAAUUAACUUUGAAGGGUGUCUGUGGCAGCCUUUCAUCCAUUAACUGCCUGGUGUGAGCCCCCACAACAGCUGAUUUCAGAGUUAACCCCGCCUGAUUCUUGCCAGUGGAAAUUUGCCAAAAUGAUUACAUCAACUUUCAAUAAACCACAUGUGCGUGACAACAGUAAGCAAACAAUUACUUAAAACCCUAUAAUAUAAUUUGUAAUUUGACAUAAUAGACUGUUCUUUCAGGGUUCACAUUUCCAUGACAAAGCCACAAGAACUGGGGCAGUUCUGCAAACAAGCAUGCACUCUGAGUAUCAGCAAGAGAAGUGCCCUUGGCCCUCCUCUCCUCCAGGCUCUGGGUUUGCACAACCACAGCGGUGCUUGGAACCAGCCAUCAUUUUGGGAAGCUCACCAGAAUGCGACCGCUUCUUUCAUUUUAGCUCUGCGGGAUGGCAAUGCCCAGCUUGUGUUUUGCCUAACAAGACAGCGAGGGGGCUGAGGAAAAUAAACCUGUAGUAAUGAUUUAUGGAAACAAUAACACUGCUCUGAGUUCUAAAAACAUCUGAAAAUAAAUGUCAUGCCCUCACCUCAUCCCCAGCUCUGCAUGACAUUUUCCAUCCUCUGGUGUUACAAAGAGCGAGCAGAGACAGAGUCUCAGGAAAGAAAUGUGGUGGUAAAUGUAUUUCUGCUUAAAUCUAGUUUUUUUCAGUGAGGUCACAACUUGCUAUCUAUGCAACAUUCAAAAGCUGUAAGAUUACUGCACAUUUGGGCCUUGAAGCCCUUCUGUUUUCUUUAUUCAAAGACUGAGAGAGAUCCUUUACUUCUGUUCAGGAGGUAGAUCAGCUUAAAUUCUCGUUCUCUUUCUCCUUCCCCGCCUCCCUUCUUUUAGCUGAGUGAUUUAUUUUAAAAAACUGUGACUUCUCUAAUUUUCCAUUUAUGGGCAAGGGGUUCUUUGAAGCAGUAAAAGGACAUGGGGCCAGCAAGGAGGAAUCAGGCAGCAUCUAUUGUAGGAAAAUGAAAAAUAAUUGCAGUUUUAUGUGGGGUGAGGACACUUAAAGGAAUGCAAAGGCUUUAUCUGCAGAUAUGUGUUAACAUUUUGUUUAGUCUAUGGCUGUCAGAGGAAGAUGUCAAUUAACUCUGACUUUCUCUAUAUCCUAAAGAGUAAAAGUCUCAUUUUUAGUCUGUUUUCCAAAUUAACUCAAAAUCAGAAAGUAGAGUUUGUCUGUUCAUAAUGGCAAAACAAACAAACAAACAAACAAAAAACAAAAUAAAUCAAAAGUUUGUCACAACUUUGAAUGUGUCUGGGAUUAUGGAAUAAGAGCAGUAGCACUCUGUAACGUCUUCUGAAGCACUGAAAAAGCUUAUAAGAUACUUACCAAAAGUAUACAAAAGCGUAAAAACAAAUAAGGCUAUUUUUGCAAUACAGUGACCUUCUUACAGACUUUACUAUGAACACUGAAAGUUUAUCGUUGGUGCCGUGCUAAGGCCAUUGAUUUUAGGCUGUUAGUAGCUGUUAUGUCACUUUGCUUCUCCACCCCUGAGCAUGUCCCUGUGCAAACCAUUUUUGCAGUCCCUUGGCCUGGACUUGGAGAAGAGGAGCCCGAGCGCUCCGAUGAAUGGCAAUGAGCAUUGUCAGGGAGGCAGGAAAAUUGAGUCCCGGCUCUGGCUGCCAGGUCAGGAGCUGCAGGAGCUAAUUGUGUCAAUGGUAAUGAGACUGAGCAGGCAGCAGAUGCUCACGUGCCUUUACAAUCCAAAUCCCACCAACAAAUUCCUCCCACAGAAACUUUAAGGGACGUCUUGGCACCCUGGAGAUGGUGAUAGACCCGGUCUCAGCCACAUGCCACCUGCUAGAGCCAUUGUUUAAAUAAAGGAGAAAAAAAAAGAAAGCCUAUUAUGAUAACAAAGUUGUUUGCUGUCUCUUGCAAUGACUUUAUGGCACCAGUUUUUACCAUACUGCAUGUACUGAAAAAGAAAAGGAAAAAAAAGGAACAUCUGAUUCUUUAAAGAGAAACAGUUGUAUUGAGCACUGUUAACAACUUACUUGGGAAGCCGGAUGUUCAGUAUAUGUUACAUAUUCUGCUGAUAAACCAUGCUUGCCUUUUUCCCAUUACAGCUCCCACUGUGCCUGCUUCCUACAGCAGGUUUACAUUUCCACAUGUUUUCCCAUGACAUAGAAGCGGGGAGCAUUUCUUUACUCCUUUUUUUUUUUUUCCUUUUUUUUCCCAGCAAAAUCAAGAACAUAAAAUGCAGAUACCCAUGUACAGUGCUGUAUAAAUAUUUAUUGUGAAAUAAAACAAACUGCAUGGCUGGUCCUGACUCUUGGAGCAGGAUGGCUGGUGAGCUGUGCGUAAGGUUUUGAAGAAGGGGAAGGCCACCAGCACCAUGUUCCCCUGCUGGCCAUGGUGUGUAACACAGGAUUGCUAGAUGGGGCCACGUGGAGAGGUUCCGAUUCUUGCAGGAAAUCUCUGCCCAAGAAUGUCUGUUUCUGAACAAGUCUGACCAAGUGUCCUUCACUGCCAUUGGAAAUUGAGCCCAGCAUUGCUAUUGCGCUCCUAUGAGGCUCAGACCACGAGCGUGACCGGUGUCCUCGGGGUGAGCUGGUCACAGGCAGCUGCUGGCAGGGGGUGCAGAUGAGUGGAUCUGGACUGCUUGGCUUAGGCUGUCAGGGGAAGAUUGAAGACAUGCUUUGUCUGGUCUGAAGAUACUUGAAGCAGCAAUUAUGCUCCUUUUUUAAACUCCCAGGGGUAGUGGAGAAAGUUAAAGUUGCUUAAAAAGCUUGGUUUGAGCUGGUAAUUUAACAGAGUGUGCAUUGUAGCCCAGGCUAAAUUCACAUCUACACCAAACUUCAACCCCUUCCUUUACAAAUCCUCACUCUUGUGAAGAAAAGAAUCACAAAUGUAGCUACAUCUUCUGCCCUGUUAAAUGUGAGAAUGGCCCUGAAGAUCUCAUCACAAGUUAGUGUUCUGCAGGGUGCUAGGGCAAGGUGUUCAUCUCUAGAGAACUGCAGCAGUAUGAUGUAAAGCAUUUCAAAUUUAUUUCAAACUCAAGUAUGUCAAUUACAUGCACUACAUCAAUUAUAUGUACUAUAUCAAUCAUACAUAUGUGUACACAUAUGUAUAUGUAUAUAUAUAGCAUAUGAAGUUGCUAACACCUGGAAUAAAAGCAGACAUAGGGUAUUCAAUGCAGUUAUAUCAGUGCAUAAGGCUGAAAACAUUAUGCACCUGAGGAAUGUCCCGGAUCUUGACAGUAUUUUCCUUAUGGGGAAGAGGGGUCUGGGGUCUUCAACUAUGUCAGUGUUUCUCGAGUCCCACUGCGCACGGACCAAACGGUAUAGCCACUGUCCUCUGGAGCACCUGGUUCUGGUGACAGAAAAAAUGAUGCAUUAGGAAAUGGGCAGUUGUGUACAACCGCAGCCACAGUUGGGUUAAUGCGGCAUUUGUGAGAAAGCGUUAUGUGGUUUCCUCAGGUGUUGGGGGAAAGAAGCCUAUCAUAUUUUUAAAGGUGCCUUUGUUACCAGGCAUAUAUCGGGCAUAAAUAAUGCUGAAAACCUCGUUUUACUGAAGUGCAUGCCUUGCUCUUAAAGGCAAUUUGAGGUAAAAGGCUAACAGAGAUAUUCUACGUCAUACUUUACAAGGACACAACUAAACAGAACGACAAACACAAUGUCAGAUGCAUUUAGAGUGAUCAGACAAUGGAAUUUUCAUUAUAUUCUGUGCCUGUCUGUUAAUGACUACUCAUAUUAAUUCAAAAGUAACCUGUAAUGUGUUAUGGGCAUUUCUUUGUAAUCAAGAUUCAGUAAGCUGUAAGUCUCAGGCAUUUUUCACUUUCGCACUUGGUAAAAUGAUGAGAGAGAAAUGUCUUCCUGGUUCAGAAAGAGACUAAGUAUCUUGGUAUGGUACUUACCGUGCAUGAACCAUGUACAAGUUUAACUUGCUAUUUAUAUACACAAUGCUGCAUUGCAAAACUGCCAUGAAAAUUUACUCGUGUAGCAGAAAAUCUGCUCCCCUGCCCUUUGCCUCAAUGAUUGAUGAUAAUGUAAAAUCUAAUUUUGAACUCGCUUAUUAAAAAAAAAAAAAAAAAAAAGUUCUCGACCAUCAGCAAAUGUAUAAAAUUUUGUGGUUUGAUAUAUUUUAAUGAAUGAUUCGAUUUCUCAAAGCAACUUGAAAUGGUGAAAAGUGUAGAUUAGGAGCAAAUUUCUCUGUUCACCCCUCCUCUCCUUCUGCUUCAAGGGCUAACCCUAAACCUAACCCUCUGUUCACCCCAUCCCUCCAUUUAUGGGCAGGACAUGACAGCUGCUCUUCUACUGAGGCCAAGAAGACAUUUUUCCCUGAUAUAGCUGUUAUGUUUACAGGUGUCUCAUAUGUGACAGCGGUCAUGGAGGAUGCUCCUGUUGGCAAGAAGGGGCACAAUACAGGCAGUGCUCUCAGGGUUAUGGUAAUUUAAGGUGCAGAUUUGGGGAAGUCAGGAUUGAUAGUGUCAAGAGGAUUUUUGCCCUUUCUAAUUUAUUUAUCAGCAGCCUCUGUCCCCAGUUGGGAUGGUCAGCGCUUUGCUGCAUAACUGAUGCCUGACUGAGGGACAAAUAAAGGUUAAAAUAAAUGUCCCAGCUAAUCUCAUCGGGCUUACUUAAGAAGACUGUGAUACACAGGAGGUCCUAUUUGAUAAUGCAAUGGCCCACUCAAUCUUUAAUGUCUCUUAGAGCAAUCCAGCCUCUAAUACAUCCUAGUUCUGGAAGAGGUAUCAGGUACAAGUCUGUCUGAUGAGACAGCUAACAGGUUGGACAAAUACGGCACUACUUUGUGAUAAGUUCUACAUCUAUAAGAUCUAUCUUUGUCCGUGCCAAAAAAUCAGGCUGAAAUGUCAGCCUCCUUUCAUGCCUAUCAGUCCUCUAGCAACUUCUCUGUGGCUCCAAGAGUGAAUCUGAAAUGGUAACACUCAUCUUCCUACAUGGGUACCCUUCGCCCAUUCUGCUGCAUCAGAUGGAAAUGUAAGGUGAAAAGAUGAGAGAGAGCCCUGUUUUUGGUUUUACUUUGGGCAGCAAGCUCACUGAAAAGGGAGGGGGAGAGAAGGAAGGAGAGAGGGACAGACAGAGGGAGAGGAAGGUGAAAGAGAAGAGGGAGAGAGCAGCCCCCCAGUUUUGUCAUUCAUUGUGAUGGAAAUGUUCUUUUAAAAUACACUUCUGACUUAGGGAGACUUGUCUUUCACAUUCAUUACACAGGUGUCAAAUCAAAUUUUGUCUUGCUAUGUCUUGUGCACUGGAGCAUGGUGCAUAUGACAUUUUGUAACAUGUUGCAACAUAAGGCAAUAAAUCAUACUGAAAGUGAAUAAAACCUCAUUUCUUUUUUGGGGGUGGGGUGGAUGAACCAAAUGGCACUGUGCUAAUUUCACUGUGCUUCUGUCAUUGUCAAGAAAAUCAUUUUCUUUCUCCCCUGUCCCUGGCGAGGGACUGUUUCUCAAAGCAGUUCCUCAAAGUAAAAUUCUCUGUCACCUAAGUUUUGGAUAUAUACCAUGCACCUAGGGGAUUGAUAACUUUUAGAAGGAAAUAUAUGCUUCAAAGCUCAAUAAAACUCCUUUGAGAAACAAGACAGACUUUAAAGCAUCUCCACCAGAGAAGUAAACCUAUUUUCAGCUAAGUGAAAAAAUUUUUAAGCUGCUGUGCAGCUGUGGCUUCUGGAGUAGCAGUGUAGGCAAAAGGAAGCCCGAUUGGGAGAUGCUUCCUUUUCUUUCCACAGGUGCACUGCUGGGCGAUUCUGAAUGCAACUCUGGAGGAGAUUUUGCAGCGAGUAGAUAGGUAUUGGGUGGGAAUAGCCCGGCUCGGUCUCCAGGAGGCCAGCAGCACUCUGCUCACGUGCCUAGCAGCACUCAAAUACCACGCUCCAUAAGAAAUGUCUGCGGGCUGCACGUGGGACUCUCCCUUCCCUUUGUAAGGGAAGUCUGCCAUGUCAAAGGUGGACGGGAGUUUAAGAGACUUUCAGACAGGACUCUUUCACUGGCUGAGUGAGGAAUCAGCCCUGGGAGUGCUGUGAUUGUUCCCAAGCGCCACUCACUCCAACGCUGCUGCCUCUGCACCAACAGAGUGAGGAGGGUCUUCUCCUGGCUCAGGGGUUCAAGCGGAUGCUGGGAAAAAAAAAAGCAGAGGAAUGCUUCCCCCUUGCUUUAGUUCAGAAUCCUGAUAAGGGCUGUGCCAGUGACAUCUUUAUCUUCAUUGUAAGUGUUAAUGCUUGGUGGCAUGACAGUGUGGACUUCUGUGACAAUGUUAUAAAUAACCUGAUGGUGAACUUGCCAAAACAAAAACGGAAAAAAAAGAAAAGAGACACUGCUCUUCCCAUCUAUAGGCAUCCUGCUAUCUGUUAAUACAGAUAUUAAUAUGAGAGUAUCUCAGAGGGUGUCUCUGGGAAAGAUCAAGGUGAUGAAAUGGAAUUACUAUUUGGAAAGUGAUAAGAAUUGCGCUAUGAAGCAAAUUCUUCAUAGCUAAAUGUACCCAACAGUUACUCGUAGGAACACGUUAUCAUUUCACUAUAUAUAUAAUGUGUUAGCAUUUCAGCAGGGAAAUUAUUUUUCUAUGAAUUAUUCAUCUUCCGUAGUCAUGUAAUGGGGCAGUGACUUCUUUUAUCAACAAAAUACUUUUUAUUGACACUCAGAACUGCAUUUAAUUGAGCCCAUUCCCCCAAUUAUCGUCAGAAAAGAGUUUACACUGACGUUUUGGAAAAAUGUUAUAGGAAGAUUUAUCAGAGCCGCAAAAAAAAAAGCUGCCCAUGAACUAAUGGAAUUAGAUUAUCUUUGAAUUUUCUCCACCAGAACUUAGAAUGGCCACUAAUUCCUUUCUUUGCUCUUUUGGUGUUUGCAAAGGGGUUCACUAAAGCCUGAAUUGAUAUAAUUAUUGGCUUGGAUUGUUAGAGAUUUAGGCCAGAUGGCUAUGGGUUUCUAAAGUCCCAGUUGCUUGUGUUAGCUUUUCUAGUUUGCCUAUAGGGUUUGGGGAUCAGCAAUUUGAAAGGGCUGCAAACUUGUAAAACAGUGUUAUUCAUGGGGGCAGAAUGUUCAUCGGCGUGACCCAGUACUAAAUACAUUCAUUAUAGGCAUUUCUAUUCUGCACAAUUUGCCACACGGCGCUGGUUUGUGAAAAAAAGAGACAAUGGCUUAUAAAAUGCUUCUGAAUGCUUAAAAAGAAGGAGAGUUCACGCUGAGCCUCCUCUGCUUUCUCUUUCAACAAGAACCUUCUUAGUGACUUUGGCUGAGCUCUGCGGAGAGCAAGUAAAUUGGAAGAAGAGGAGAUUUACUUUUUACAUUUCUGGACAUGGCAGGGAGAAUAUCUGAGAGAAAAAAAAAAAAAAGAAAAAAGCAAUAAAAGAGAGCGAUGGUGAGAUUAUGUGAAACGCCAAUAAACAAGUGGGAGAAGUUAGCAGGGAAACAAUGGGAAGCGCGGCGAGGCUGUAGUAGCUAAAAUGAUAAACUAAAGGGGAAACAGGGAUCACGUCAUGAGCAUACAGGAGGAGAUAUCUGCUUGGGAGACCUGGCUGCAGCGCGGAGCUCGUGCAGCCAUCUGUGCCGUUUCUGGGACACAUCACUCGCCCAGCCCGCAGAUGAUUUUAUUUCUUGGUGCAAGUUGCCAUGCAAACAUGAGAACAGCUCCCGGCAGUAGAGGAGGCUGAGGGGAGCGAUCACUUUCGGAGCGCUCCGUCUGCCCCACGGCCCCUUCUCUCAGACGCUCGGCACGAGCGAGGCGCAGGGCGGAGGAAACGGAUCUGAGGAACCGGGCAACGGCACACGGCAAAGCGCACGCACAGCCGCGCUGGGGCACACGCGCUGAGGGUAGAACAGCAGCGGGAGGAGACGCGGGCUGCCCGAGAGCGGGCAGUGUCACUGAGUGGGCACGCAGCGCGGAGACUCCAAGGAGUGAGAGGAGCUCUCCGCGCACAGACAGACACUGAGGAGCGGCAGCUGACAGGGAGACAAGCGGCACCGAGGCGCUUGCGAAGCAGUUAGCUGCUUCCUUCCCUCCCCCCCCCCCCCCCCCCAUCCCGCUCAUAGCCUGGGGAGCGAGCAGUUAACUAAACGGGAGGACCACGCUGUGCCAGCGGGGUGGCGGCCGUGGCGGGACCGGGACCCCUCAGAACGCUGAGGGCGCGAAGCCUCCGGCGCUGCC